UAAGCCUGAAAGUCAGACCUAAGUGACACAGCUCUCCUUGCACUUGUAAUUCCCAGGAAUUGCUAUUCAGAGGCAUUCAGCCUAUGGCAGAACAUAGUCAUCAUGGCACAUAACUAUUGAAGGCUUUUAUCAUGGCACACCAAGAAGGAACAAAGGAAGUGGUGGUGUAGAUGGCACAAGGCUCGUGUUAUGUCUGAACUGGGUGGGCCAAUGUGUCUCAUAAUGUGGCAGGAGUAUCUUCUAGCAGGAAUGGGCGGAACUGCGUCUCCAUACACUCUGGAAAUAGAUUUACCUGAUGGUUUCUGGAUGGCCAGAAAUUUAAUCUGGAGUGGCUCUCAUGGGAUAGCUCAGUUAGUAGAGCAGCAAUGAUGCCAUCGCUAUUCUCCAAAUUCUGGAGCCAAAGAACACUGCCCUCCAUAUUGAUUGGCUUGAUGCUCACGAGAAGCUUAAAAGCAGGACAAAGAGACUGGAGUCCUCUCUUUUAGCAUGUCCUGCAUAUUGGCGCCCAGGGGUAUACUACCUCUGAACUGAAGGAAGAUUCAUUCAGCUGUUGUGGUUAGGAGUGGUUGAUAGACUUACUGUUCUGUAUGAACCAUGGAAAUAAACAAGCAGAUGAUUUAUUAUCUUUUUCUGACCUAGUACCAAAAUUGCUAUUAAAUUCUAACCAUGAUGAAGUCAAAAGGAGCUGAAAAGGAGUUCAGCAUCAUACAGAAUUUUCUCUCUGAAAGGCCGUUUCCAUUCAGCUGCAGCUAUCGUUCUAGUCCAAUAAGAGUUGUGUUGUUCCAGUCCAUAUGACAAUAUGGUUCUGAGUGUAGCUUUUGUGCACUGACAAAAAUGCAACUUUGCAUGUGAACUUGACAUGUUUAACUUCUUGGCCUUUUUUGAAAUUAUACUCUGACAUUAAGUUUUACUUUUUGUGGCUAAUGAAAUUACCAGGAGGGAACAACCCCAUGUAAAUAACAAAAUCCUAUAAUUCUUCUUUGGCCAUUGUGUUCUUUUUUUGCUAUUCAUAGUGUUGAGGGCCAUAGAUACUAGAUAUACUUACGUAAGACUUAACGAACAGUAAUUAUCUUUUGGCGAAAGAGAAAGCCCAAACAAAUGCUAAACUGCAUUAUCGUUUGGCUUCUGACAUGAGCUGAUAAUCAGAUUUUCUUGCUUAAAUCCACGGUGCUUGAACAAUGCUACCCACUGUCUGUCCUUCCCGAUAUUACCCUAAUUAGAAAGAACAGAAACACAAAUCUGAAUUAUUUCAAAAUCUGGUUUCCAUGGUCAAUGGUUUGAUGGGUUUAACUUUAUUACAAAUAAACCUGGUUUUAUAGACUAAUGAAAUCUGAAAUGCUAGAGAAAAGAUAGAUGCUACAGUACCAGAAUGGCGUUUAUCCAGUGAACUAUCUAGUAUGGGCAAAGUGUUUUGCAAUAAAUAAUUAAGUAAUUGAUUUAUGAUUGCUUACUCCAAGCCCCAUAUAAACAGAAGGAUACAAGGAUGAUCAGAAACUGUGAAACUAGGCUACCAUACUUUAGGUUAAACUUUAGAUGUAAUAGGUUAUUAUCAGCAUUGUUAUCAUGAUUACAAGGUUUUUCAUUUAUUUUAAGGUACUGUCACAGGGUCAAGUGUCUUGCAUAUAUCCAUGGUGCUUCUAUGAUAGCCACUUUCUCCAGUGUUAAAUGUUUUGAUGUGUCUGAUUUCAGAUGUUUUUAAUUUUUGCUGGUUACAUCAGCAGGCUGUUUCUUCUGCCUGGCAAAUCACAAAAGGGCAAAUUCUGAAUCAGGGCAGAAGAAACCUUCUGGAAAUCCUAGCAGGCUUAAAGUCAGUAACAGCUAGUUUAGAUAUAAUUUUAAACCUUAGGUAAGCUUGGUGCUGUUUUUCUAGGAAAAAGAGGUGCUGGAACUCACCAUAAACGCCUCCCUUGUUCUCUUAUAAUGGUAAUGGCACCCACCUGAGAGGUGCUGGAACUGAGUUCCAGUGAGUUCUGGCUUUAAAAAGGCCCUGGACUGUAAUCUUAGCUAUGGUUUAUAGGUGAAUGUGCAGCAUGCUGGUGCACAGGGCUUUGCUUAAAUUGUGGCUGCUUUCCUCCACACCUGCUCCUAUUGUUGCCAGGUGGCAUGCCCCAAUGAGUCCUCUCAGGGGUUAGGAUCCCAUCCCAGGGAGGCAGAAGCCUUCUAUCCAAAGCAUAAACAUGCAUUUGUGAUGCUGGCAUAGCAGUGUCCAAAACAAGUGAAGUUAAAGCAUCCUGUGGGUUCACCUUCAAAUGAUAGUAAAGCUAAACGCGGUUUAAAGCAAUGCACAAAUAAGGCCCUUGUUUCCUUGCAAGACCUGAGACAUCCUUACAUUUGUAGGGUAGGUAGUUUAAAAAAAAAAUAUUAGUCUAACCAGGCUGUUUAAGAAGCUAGGGCCACUUUGGCAACAAGGAACAGAAAGUACCUGUUGGUGGUGGAGAGUAUAGCCACCUCCCACCUUUUCCUAAGUCCCUCUCCCAUCUUUUCCAGAUCCAGGAGCUGCCUCUUAUAUUUGUUCUUUUUUUAAAAAAAAGAGUAGUGGCUCAGAAGCACAAGUGAUCUCACAGGAGUUGAACAGAAUUGACGUCCACGCUGUCUGUGGGCUGUUGUCCAGCCCUCCCCUAUAGCCUGUGGGUUAACUUACUUAUCUACUCUGAAGCACCUUGUUCACUUCCAAGCUCUGCCUGCUGCACAGUCUGGCCCAGAUUGCUGGUUAAUCUAUGAGAGCUGAUGUGCUUCUGAAUGGCAACACUGCCUUAGGGCCUUGGCCUUCUGCUUUUAUGCAGGGCCAUUGUUCUCUGAUUCUAAUUUCAGGACUUCAGCAUUAACCAAUAUUCUUGUUAAUGAACCAAUACAUUACCUAGGAUAUUUCCCAGGUACAUAUUGAUUGCUUACCUUGCCACGUGAUGUUUCAUGAAAACUAAAUUGAAAUUCUGUGUGCACCCAUCACACAGAGUUAACAUAAUAACUCUUAAAUGAGAGCGCAGUCGACGUUGGCUAACUGCAGCAGUUUUCAGUUCAAUUGUAGGUAUGCUUUUUGAGAAAGGGAGAGAGAGUAAUAAAGCAAUUUAAUUUUCUUUUUUAGAAAAAAUAUAUGCAAGCUAUAACAUAUAUAAUUGAGAUUGAUUUUUGUAUGUAGUAAGAUCUCUGGGAUGGCAGCCACUGUUUUGCCACGGAGGGUACUCAAGGAGCAAUCAUCUUAAUGAAACUUUUGCUUGCUGUUUUAAAAGUAUUUUCACUUAUACUUUAGUCGGGGUGGUUAUCUUUCAUGAUUACUCAGUUUUUCUUCUAUCCAUCUCACUUUCUUUAGAUAAAGAUGGCUUGGGCCAGGAGAAUCCAAAACAAAAAAGGCAAUUGAUAUGAAUUUUUUAAUGGCCCCCAUCCUUUUGAAUCUGGUUCUAGCUUUUUUGUUUUUUUCUUUUACAGUUAGUAUUACCAGGUUGCAAGUGGAAGGUCCUGUGCUGAACUUUUAAAUUCUACAAGGCAGCAUGAGAUGAGGUUGCCAGGGCUGGCUCCAGGUUUGUGGAGGCUCUUAGCAGCCCUCGGCAUGGUGUCUUGAGGAGCCCCAUUUCAGCCCCUCCCUUUCUAAUAUUUCCACCAUAAGAACAGAAGAAAAACCUUGCUGGAUCAGCCCAAAGGUCCAUCUAGUCCAACAUCCUGCUUUUUGCAGUUACCAGUCACAUGCCUAUGGAAGACCUGAGUGCGGCAGUGCUCUCCCCACCUACAAUUUCCAGCAACCGAUGUUCAGAGGCAUAGAGCCUCUGACAAGCAGAGGUAAAACAUAGCUACCAUGUCUAGUAGCCACUGAUAUCCUAACCCUCUUUUUAAAGCCAUCCAAGUUGAUGGUCAUUCAUUCAGUUUAUGCACUGGGUAUAGAAGUUAUUGGUUUGUCUAUCCUGAAUCUUCCAACGUUCAGUCUCAUUGAAUGUCCCUAAAUUUUAAUUUCAUGAGAAAUGAAAAAAAAGUUUUCCCUACCCACUUUCUCCAUGAUGUGCAUAAGUUUCUACUUAUGUUAUAACCUUUCCUUAUGGGGGAGUUGUUCCAGCCCCUUGAUCAUUUGGUCGCUUUUAAAAAGUCUUUCCCAGCAGUACAAUACCAUUUUUGAGAUGUGUUAGAAAUAUGUGCACUAUUCAGAAUGUGGUCGCACCACGGAUUUGUAUAAAUGGCAUUAUGAUAUUGUCAGUUUUAUUUUCAUCCCUUGCCUAUUGGUCCCUGCCAGUGUAUUCACCCUUUUCACAGCUGCUGCACAUCUUCAGCAAGCCAACCACUACAACCUAAAGGUCUUAGUCACCACUAGUUAAGACCCUAUAAGCAUAUAUGCAAAUUUAAGAUUAUUAUUUUUUUGCCCCAAUGUGCAUCACUAGAUUUAUUUAUUAAAUCAUUUUCUAUUCUGCUUAAUUUCCAUUGUCUUGAAGCGGUUCACAGGUUGCUCAGUAGAAGAAAGAUAACCUUGCUCACAUUAAUUUGCUUACAAGUUAAACUUGCUUACAAUAAAGGGAAAGAUCACACUUCCUUACAUUGAAUUGCAUUUGCCAUUUAACUGCCCAUUCAUCCAGUAAUGUGGUCUGGGUAACUGGACAUACAGGGAGGAGGACCGUGGUAGUAGAGGAAGUGGCACUCCUCCUCUGAGUGCUGGGUGACUAACACUGUAAUUCCCCAUGAUCCCUUGCGGAAUUGUAUUCAAUGCCUCCAGGGCAUUUUAUUCAAUUACAUCAUCAACCAUUUGGUGCUCACUGAAGCAUGAGUAAAGGAGGCCCAGAUGACUGGCAUUGGCAGUAGUGGGACUUUGGCAGUUUCCUAAGAUACUCACCCGCAACUCAGACAGGCGCUCCAAUAGGAUAUCAUGGUUGAUGGCAUCCUGAGGGAUAGCUCAGUUGGUAGAGCAUGAGACUCUUAAUCUCAGGGUUGUGGGCUUGAGUCCCAUGUUGAGUGAAAUAUUCUUGCACUGCAAGGGGUUGAACUAUAUAAUUCUUGUGGGCAUUUCCAACUCUACAGUUCUAUGAUGCAUUGCCUACUUACGCCAGCUGUAAAGGCAGACAUGGCUUCUCCACAGUGUUCUGCUUGUCACACCACACAGCUGAGGGAUGAAAGAACAGGAACAGGGGAAAGAGAGUGAGGGAGAAGUCACAACUGCUUCAUCUCUCACUUCAUUAGGACAUCUCUGGCUGCUGGAACCUUGCAGUCCUGGAAGCUUCCAGGAGGUGGCUACACAUGUGUACAUAUGUGUGUAGGCUGGUGAAUGUCAUUGUCUCCUUAAAAAAAAUUGAAUGAACUCUACCUCUUCAACCUACAUUGAUAAUUU
Molecule: non-coding RNA, 5299 nt
Organism: Podarcis lilfordi (Lilford's wall lizard)
Lineage: Eukaryota; Metazoa; Chordata; Lepidosauria; Squamata; Lacertidae
Source: the annotation of a GenBank genome assembly